RNAcentral lists this ribosomal RNA (867 nucleotides) under Triticum aestivum (bread wheat). RNAcentral's name for it is "partial small subunit ribosomal RNA". The record is from RNAcentral. Lineage: Eukaryota; Viridiplantae; Streptophyta; Magnoliopsida; Poales; Poaceae.
AUGAUUAUCAUGUGCAGCAGCGACCACAAGUGCAGAAGCCUAAGCCAAGACUGCCAAGACUUUCAGAUUAGCCGCGUCGAAAGGUUGGCCCUUUCCCCUCCGCCGCAAAAUAGCCGCCGCGCAGUCUCUGCCAAUACCCAAUCUACGGAGGCGGUGGAGAUGCAAAUCCUCUCGCGCUCGAUUACUCGAAGCGUCAGCAGCGUUGCCUCUGCUCUGCCUCGAUGGUGGUUUCCAGCACUUGCGCGAGGAGAUGCUCCACUCAAGGCUUUAGUACCGGCCUAUCCAAAUCAACAUCUUUUCCGUGAGAAGAUUGCACUGAAUUGGCUGCGCCAAUUCUCCAUACAUGGCGUGAAUGAGACGAAGACUAAUAAUGCAGCAGAGGACAGUGACCCGACGUUAAAGACUAGUUUAAGUGAAGAUAUAUGUUACAUGCCGAUAAUUUCAGGGAGCAGCCACCGUGAUGGUGCUAUAUACAAGAGAGCGGCUUAUUGGGAACAUAAUUACUUUUUUGAUAUCGCUGACCGUACAGAAACUCGGUUGGAGCCAGCUCGUGCAUACGAUAUACCACGUAACAUGAUGCAGAUCUUUUCAAUGAAGUUAGCUAAAGCUCCUAUCAAUAGUGGCUCAAUACAGUUAUAUGGAUAUAUAGCAGCACGUGAUGAAGUUGAUCUAAAACUAAAUUAUGUUUUCAAUCGUACCAGGGAUGAUCCCAUCAUCGUGCAGCAGAGGAAUGAGGAAUGGAUACAUGAGGCAUGGCGUAAGCGUAGGUGUCAGCCAGGGCACGAUGCAAGAGUCUGCCCAUCUCCUCUCAAACCGCUGGAACUGAGGGAUAUUGACACGGACUUUGUCUGCUUGCUUCAAAACUAA